This 253-nucleotide ribosomal RNA is filed under the name uncultured bacterium. RNAcentral describes it as "partial 16S ribosomal RNA". It matches the Rfam family "Bacterial small subunit ribosomal RNA", at positions 524 to 776 of the family's 1533-position model. The record is from RNAcentral.
UACGUAGGGGGCAAGCGUUGUCCGGAAUCAUUGGGCGUAAAGGGCGUGUAGGCGGCUCGGUAAGUCCGCUGUGAAAGUCCAGGGCUCAACCCUGGAAUGCCGGUGGAAACUGUCGAGCUAGAGUCCGGAAGAGGCGAGUGGAAUUCCUGGUGUAGCGGUGAAAUGCGCAGAUAUCAGGAGGAACACCAAUGGCGAAGGCAGCUCGCUGGGACGGUACUGACGCUGAGACGCGAAAGCGUGGGGAGCAAACAGG